GUGAUGGAGGCAACAUUGAAAGAGUUGGGAGGCCGGGAAGGACCCUGGACUCACACAUGUCUGAAGCCCCUGCCUAGCUGAACUCUGGUUACUGCCACCCUCUGCAGGCACCUGGAAUGACAGAUGCCUGGGCAAUUAGCCUGUGCCCAGGGACUCAAGAUGCCUAUCAAGAGGUCUGCAGACUCCUGCACUGUGGAUGUUACCGGAGAAAAUUUGGGAGAAGAUUUAGGAAGUAAUGAAGACAAAGAAAGCAAUUCUACAUUUUAUUGAGAUACUUGUAAAAGUCCUCUGUUUUCCUUAACCGGAAUCCUUCUAAUAAACGCAUCUCUGGA
This is a non-coding RNA of Heterocephalus glaber (naked mole-rat), 332 nucleotides long. Lineage: Eukaryota; Metazoa; Chordata; Mammalia; Rodentia; Bathyergidae. The record is from RefSeq and is a predicted model, not a curated record.